GAUGAACGCUAGCUACAGGCUUAACACAUGCAAGUCGCGGGGCAGCAUGGGGGUUGCUUGCAACCCCUGAUGGCGACCGGCGCACGGGUGAGUAACGCGUAUCCAACCUGCCCUUCACCACGGGAUAACCCGGCGAAAGUCGGACUAAUACCGUAUGUUGUCCAUUGACGGCAUCCGAUUGGGGCGAAAGGCGUGGCGGUGAAAGGAUGGGGCUGCGUCCGAUUGGCUUGACGGCGGGGUAACGGCGCACCGUGGCUACGAUCGGUAGGGGUUCUGAGAGGAAGGUCCCCCACACUGGAACUGAGACACGGUCCAGACUCCUACGGGAGGCAGCAGUGAGGAAUAUUGGUCAAUGGGCGUAAGCCUGAACCAGCCAAGUAGCGUGCAGGAUGACGGCCCUAUGGGUUGUAAACUGCUUUUAUGCGGGGAUAAAGUGGCCCACGUGUGGGCUUUUGCAGGUACCGCAUGAAUAAGGACCGGCUAAUUCCGUG
RNAcentral lists this ribosomal RNA (491 nucleotides) under uncultured bacterium. RNAcentral's name for it is "partial 16S ribosomal RNA". It matches the Rfam family "Bacterial small subunit ribosomal RNA", at positions 28 to 507 of the family's 1533-position model. The record is from RNAcentral.